CUAUCUCGGUUUUGCAAAACGACCCGUCGACUGUUCGUACUUCAGAGGCGAACCAGAGUUAGAUUGCUUGUCAGGAUCACGUGGAUUUAGCAAGCAGUUUAUGAUUUGAGCGUUUGGUCGAUCUCCAUUUCUUCAUUCCCGGAGGUUUUUAUUUUAUUUUCAGAAUAAAAGAGUCG
Mercurialis annua (annual mercury) is the source of this 176-nucleotide long non-coding RNA. RefSeq lists it as uncharacterized. The transcript is spliced from 3 exons. NCBI's taxonomy places the organism in Eukaryota, Viridiplantae, Streptophyta, Magnoliopsida, Malpighiales, Euphorbiaceae. The record is from RefSeq and is a predicted model, not a curated record.